UACGUAGGGGGCAAGCGUUGUCCGGAAUCAUUGGGCGUAAAGAGCGUGUAGGCGGCUUGGUAAGUCCGCUGUGAAAGUCCAGGGCUCAACCCUGGAAAGCCGGUGGAAACUGUCAAGCUUGAGUCCGGAAGGGGCGAGUGGAAUUCCUGGUGUAGCGGUGAAAUGCGCAGAUAUCAGGAGGAACACCAAUGGCGAAGGCAGCUCGCUGGGACGUGACUGACGCUGAGACGCGAAAGCGUGGGGAGCAAACAGG
RNAcentral lists this ribosomal RNA (253 nucleotides) under uncultured bacterium. RNAcentral's name for it is "partial 16S ribosomal RNA". It matches the Rfam family "Bacterial small subunit ribosomal RNA", at positions 524 to 776 of the family's 1533-position model. The record is from RNAcentral.